UACAGAGGUCUCAAGCGUUGUUCGGAUUCAUUGGGCGUAAAGGGUGUGUAGGUGGCGCGCUAAGUCGGGUGUGAAAUUUCGGAGCUUAACUCCGAAACUGCAUUCGAUACUGGCGUGCUUGAGGACUGGAGAGGAGACUGGAAUUUACGGUGUAGCAGUGAAAUGCGUAGAUAUCGUAAGGAAGACCAGUGGCGAAGGCGGGUCUCUGGACAGUUCCUGACGCUGAUGCACGAAGGCCAGGGGAGCAAACGGG
Molecule: ribosomal RNA, 253 nt
Filed under: uncultured bacterium
Lineage: Bacteria
Description: partial 16S ribosomal RNA
Rfam family: Bacterial small subunit ribosomal RNA
Source: RNAcentral